GAUGAACGCUGGCGGCGUGCCUAAUACAUGCAAGUCGAGCGAACAGACGAGGAGCGUGCUCCUCUGACGUUAGCGGCGGACGGGUGAGUAACACGAGGAUAACCGACCGAUAAGACUGGGAUAACGUCGGGAAACCGGAGCUAGCACCGGAUAAGAUAUUGAACCGCAUGGUUCAAUAGUGAAAGACGGUUUUGCUGUCACUAAUAGAUGGAUCCGCGCCGCAUUAGCUAGUUGGUAAGGUAACGGCUUACCAAGGCGACGAUGCGUAGCCGACCUGAGAGGGUGAUCGGCCACACUGGAACUGAGACACGGUCCAGACUCCUACGGGAGGCAGCAGUAGGGAAUCUUCCGCAAUGGGCGAAAGCCUGACGGAGCAACGCCGCGUGAGUGAUGAAGGUCUUCGGAUCGUAAAACUCUGUUAUUAGGGAAGAACAAAUGUGUAAGUAACUCUGCACGUCUUGACGUUACCUACUCAGAAAGCCCCGGCUAACUACGUG
Molecule: ribosomal RNA, 497 nt
Filed under: uncultured bacterium
Lineage: Bacteria
Description: partial 16S ribosomal RNA
Rfam family: Bacterial small subunit ribosomal RNA
Source: RNAcentral